AUUUACAAUCAUCAGCACCUCCAUCCCCAUCCCACCCCCCCAAAAGCAACAGAUAAAUCUUAGAAAAUCGACAGACACUCCCAGGCUGACACAGAGGAGUGAGAUAGAUGGUGAGGGGCUCUUUGGGGCCUCUGGCAGCCAAAGCUGUGUGGUCUCAGUUCCCUUCUCUGCCCAGUGUUUGCAGCACUUGUCCACCUGCCUUCCUCACCUGGAGCCAUCUCUCUGCUUUUCAGGACCCCACAACAGCCAGGGUGUCAGGUGCCUAUGCUCUCCCUCAAGCCUCAAGCCUGUAUCUGUAUCUAUAUCCAGGGACAUGAACAAGAACCAAGGUAGUAGGAGAUUUAACUUAGAGCACUCUCAAACCUCAGGCCAAUGUUUGGGGGGAGGAAUCCCCACCCAGGACAAAGAGAAUCCCCCUUCCUAUUUUUGCCAGUGUGCUAGUUUUAAUCAUCAUCAUCAUCCCUGGCAAGAAAGAAUUCUCUGAGCACGGAGAGGGUGGCAACAAUGACUACUGAGAUUAUAUUCCAUUUAGGGGGGAAGGGGAGGAUUUUUUUUUAAUUUUAUUUCGAGGGGAUCAAGACAGUCUGAACUUUAGAGAGUAUUGUAAUGUACUGGAGAGAGGGGACACAAGACUCGCCCCCCCCCCCCACCCCGGAGCAAUUGGUGGGAAACUAGAUCUCAAAGCAGAAAAUGAAAAGUCGAUCUGGGGGAAGAUUUUUAAAUAAGUGGGUCAGAGGGACCGAGAGGAGAUGAGGCGAUCAAUCUUAGCCCCCUGACAGCUCCCUCCGAUGGCAUCAAAGAAUUUGGCUCUUUGGGAAAGCCGAGGGAACAGCCGAAAUUCCACAUCCCUUUAAAAGGCCUGGGGGUGGGGGUGAUAGCAAAAGAGAAAGGUGAUUCUGGGAGAGCAGGGGAACAGAUGGGCAAUGGGGACAGAGGGAAGGACGCUGAGUUGGGUGGAAAGUUUGUGUGGCGAACUCCCACGGCUCUGGCCUCCCCUCCCCCUCCUCCUCUGGGCUGCCCAGCAAGGAGGAGAAGGCUGGUUAGCAGAGAAAUGGCAACUCAGCCGGGAGCUGGAACUAGAAACUUUCUGUCAAUGUAACAGCCGCGUGGGUGGCGACCCAAUGGUGGUUGGGCUUCGGGUCACGUGACGACUUCUUUGUAGCUCCGGAAGAGAACUGUGAAGUUUAGGUUCCUUGGAAGAGCAGAGAACUGCAAGGAAAAAAAAAAUCAAGAUUUGGAGGAAUUACUCACAGA
Molecule: long non-coding RNA, 1254 nt
Organism: Felis catus (domestic cat)
Lineage: Eukaryota; Metazoa; Chordata; Mammalia; Carnivora; Felidae
Exons: 3
Source: RefSeq, a predicted model, not a curated record